GACGAACGCUGGCGGCGUGCUUAACACAUGCAAGUCGAACGGUGAAGGGAUCAGCUUGCUGGUUCUGGAUGAGUGGCGAACGGGUGAGUAACACGUGAGUAACCUGCCCCCUUCUUCUGGAUAACCGCAUGAAAGUGUGGCUAAUACGGGAUAUUCUGCGCCUGCUGCAUGGUGGGUGUGGGAAAGAUAUUGUUUCGGUGGGGGAUGGGCUCGCGGCCUAUCAGCUUGUUGGUGGGGUGAUGGCCUACCAAGGCGGUGACGGGUAGCCGGCCUGAGAGGGGGGACGGUCACACUGGGACUGAGACACGGCCCAGACUCCUACGGGAGGCAGCAGUGGGGAAUAUUACACAAUGGGCGCAAGCCUGAUGCAGCGACGCCGCGUGAGGGAUGGAGGCCUUCGGGUUGUGAACCUCUUUCGCCAGUGAAGCAGGCCUGUCCCUUGUGGGUGGGUUGACGGUAGCUGGAUAAGAAGCGCCGGCUAACUACGU
This 488-nucleotide ribosomal RNA is filed under the name uncultured bacterium. Its description in RNAcentral is "partial 16S ribosomal RNA". It matches the Rfam family "Bacterial small subunit ribosomal RNA", at positions 28 to 506 of the family's 1533-position model. The record is from RNAcentral.